RNAcentral lists this ribosomal RNA (251 nucleotides) under uncultured prokaryote. RNAcentral's name for it is "partial 16S rRNA". It matches the Rfam family "Bacterial small subunit ribosomal RNA", at positions 525 to 775 of the family's 1533-position model. The record is from RNAcentral.
ACGUAGGGGGCGAGCGUUAUUCGGAAUUACUGGGUGUAAAGGGUAUGUAGGCGGUUUGGUAAGUCAGGUGUGAAAGCUUCGGGCUUAACCCGAAAAGUGCACUUGAAACUGCCAGGCUUGAGUUCCGGAGAGGAAGGUGGAAUUCCCAGUGUAGAGGUGAAAUGCGUAGAUAUUGGGAGGAACACCGGUGGCGAAGGCGACCUUCUGGACGGUGACUGACGCUGAGACGCGAAAGCGUGGGGAGCAAACAG